Ornithorhynchus anatinus (platypus) is the source of this 889-nucleotide long non-coding RNA. RefSeq lists it as uncharacterized. NCBI's taxonomy places the organism in Eukaryota, Metazoa, Chordata, Mammalia, Monotremata, Ornithorhynchidae. The record is from RefSeq and is a predicted model, not a curated record. The transcript is spliced from 6 exons.
GGGGGGUCAAGACAGAGAUGAGACCCCCUAGACAUCUGCUUGUAAUUUGCAUUUCCCUGGACAAACCCUUUCAUGCUACAGAUCCAAUCUUAACCUAUCCCUUACCCCCUUUCCUAUCCUACCCUAUCUUCCCCACAACCACCCCCUCCUCUAUCGAAGUGGCUGGGGCUUUCUCCCGGGAAACCUGAUCUCUAACCCAGCUGCUCCCAAUCAGGUGGAUUACUGACGUCAGGCAGGGCCCCGCCCUGACCUAUAUAAGCCUCUAGAGUGGGAGGGCAUUUCCGAGCUGAAUGAGUUUUCUUUUUUAUGUCUGUGCCUGUUGAGUUUGGGAGGAGGAAAAAGCUGUUGGGGCUCAAUGAGGUGUUAACUUUUGGAUGUGCUUGUCUUCUGGAUUCUCCAAGAGUCCCCUUCCAAUCUUAUAGGUUCAGGAUCAUUUUAAUGGAGUGGUCCCAGACGAUACGAUACAGGUCCAGCAUCAGAUGAAUGGGGAGGACACAGUUGAUACAACAUUGGUGUGGCGUUCAAGACCAGGAUCCACAGCUCCAGACACAGACCUCAUCUCAAGUGCUCCAUUGUGACACCCCACUCGAUCGGGUAGGGGAUCUUCUGCGCCAUCCCCCGAGAAGGUCUCGGUGUGCAUAAACCUUGCUUCAUGGACCAUCUCUCUUAUGUGGACACGAGCCAAUUCCCAGAAAUGCCCUGCUUGUCAAGAUGGUCAUGAUGAGGGCACUGAGGCACAGAACGGUGAAGUGACUGGCUCCCGGGCACCCAGGGGACGAGUGGAGCCGGGAUGAAAACACGGAAGCCCUGACUCGCAGCCGUGCAUUCCUUCAACAGGGCCGACUGUCAGGUAUCUUGCUAGGGAUUUUAUGGGUAGACUUGUAAGUCU